ACAUCGCCUCUUGAAUUCCUAUAAGAGGUCCAGCCUGCCCAGUGACUUUGUUCAACGGCCGCGGUAUCCUAACCGUGCGAAGGUAGCGUAAUCACUUGUCUUUUAAAUGAGGACUUGUAUGAAUGGCAUCACGAGGGUUAUACUGUCUCCUUUUUCUAAUCAGUGAAACUAAUCUUCCCGUGAAGAAGCGGGAAUAAAUAUAUAAGACGAGAAGACCCUAUGGAGCUUUAAACUUAAUAACAAAUACUAACCUUACUUCAACUUCCAGAACAUUAAUCUUAAUUUUAGUAUCCUGUUUAUUAGUUUUAGGUUGGGGUGACCGCGGAGUAAAAAUUAACCUCCAUAUUGAAUAGGACUUGUCCUUGAGCUAAGAACUACAGCCCUAAGCACCAAUAAAUUGACAUUAAUUGAC
RNAcentral lists this ribosomal RNA (412 nucleotides) under Osteocephalus leprieurii group sp. ABGD cluster 10. RNAcentral describes it as "partial large subunit ribosomal RNA". It matches the Rfam family "Bacterial large subunit ribosomal RNA", at positions 1813 to 2419 of the family's 2925-position model. The record is from RNAcentral. Lineage: Eukaryota; Metazoa; Chordata; Amphibia; Anura; Hylidae.